Molecule: non-coding RNA, 3323 nt
Organism: Salmo salar (Atlantic salmon)
Lineage: Eukaryota; Metazoa; Chordata; Actinopteri; Salmoniformes; Salmonidae
Source: RefSeq, a predicted model, not a curated record
GCAGCGUGUUUGGGAAAAGGGGGGCUGCAGCAUGUUUGGGAAUGGAGGUUGGGGGGGCUGCAGCGUGUUUGGGAAUAGGGGGGCUGCAGUAUGUUUGGGAAUGGAGGUUGGGGGGGCUGCAGCAUGUUUGGGAAUGGAGUUGAGGGAAGGGGGGGCUGCAGUUUGUUACUAUGGUUACUGGGUUACUGUCACACAGCGAGGUUGGAGAACUGAACUGUCCUCCUGAUAUUUGCUGCAUAAGCACCCCUCCAAAAAAGAAGGGAUAAACAAUAGAAGCAUUAUACACACUGAAAAAAACUACAUUUGCUACCUUCGAUUAACAUGUUUAAAUGGGCACUUAAAUCAUUUUAUCUGCCUUGUGAGAAUCACUAUUUUUCAAGUAUCCAUGUUCUAAGAUGCUGUUCCACUUUUCAGAGGAAGCCAAGUGUAUAUAUUCUGAUUAUUUGUCUUAAAGCAUUUAAAUAUUAGGCAGUCCUUUCAACAUGACUGUACAAGUCAAAAGGAGGUUUGACAAUCCAAAUUAUGAUAUUAUCAGUUUAGCUAAAGCUUGGAUGUUUGCCAAAAAUAUUAUUUGUGACUUGCUUUGUGCCAAACCAAGAAUCGCUGUUGUCGGUUAUUUUUUACACAUUACAAGCAUACCACUAUGAACUCUGAGGCUAUGUUCUGUUUUCCUCUAGUCUAGCUGAAUCUAAGCUAAAGUUGAGGACAAGGUUACGCUUGCAUAAACUACACACAAAGCAGGGUUUCCAUUAUGAAAAUGUGUCGCUGGAAAUUUGACAUGCAUAUUUUAAUUUAAUGGAUCUUCGAGACAUUUACUGGACCCAUAUGCAUUGGGUGCGUAACCUGAUUAGAGCGUCCACUCACUGUGCUCAGAAUUACAGAAAUCACAUUUAGAUUAUUGUAAUUAAUCUGAACAGAACAUGCAAGUUGAGGAUGCAAUGACGUGUGUCCUUACUGCACACUUUGAAGAUGUUAGCAUAACUGUCCACAUUUACUUUUCCUCAGCCAACAAGAUGAGUAACGAACAGCUAAAUCACGAGCUAGCAUAUGUAUAUGUGACACGAGAGUUUCCAGUUUGGGGAAGCAAAUGUUCACAAUAAAAAAUACACCUUUAUAAUUAAGCAUUCCAUGCAUCAUUGCAUUUGUAGACUUACGUAAGAUAGUCUACAUUUCAUGUGAUGAGUAGAUUGGAUAGUCAUAAUUUAAGCUAAUAACUCAAUCACUGUCCGCAAAAAAUACAUUUCAAUGAAUGGCAGAGUGUGUAUUGAAUUGCCUGGGCAAUAUACGUUUCUUCUUUCUGGGAAAAACACAUGUCAUGCAAUUCUACUACACUUUAUUUGACUGGAGACAUUAGCAGCAUCUUUUUUAAUACGACAAAUUACAGGGUAGGCUAGUCUGCUGACACUUCCAAACAGAUCAAUAAAAAUAACCCUGUCCAAUAUAAUAGGCUUAUGAGAAGGGGAGACACAAAUAGAAUAUGACAUCUAUCCAGAGAACCUUACAGUAGUGAGUGCACACAUUUCUGUAUUGGUCACCUGUGGGAAUCAAACCCACAACCCAGGUAUUGCAAGCACCAUGCUCUACCAACUGAGCUACACAGGACCUUAUGAUGUUAAAGCCUGCCUUCCGUUCCCUAUGUAUUUGAAUGGCGAAUGGGAAGCGCGCUACAAUUACCAGUUGAGAAAAAAAAAUAGUAACUCUUUUUAAUUGUGACCCAAAAUCAAUUUUUAAUGCACGAUUGCAUUUAGAAUUGUUGUGCAAUUACUGUGUUUAUAAAAACGCGGUCUAACAGAUUUUCCACUCAAAGGUUCUGUAUCUGUAUGCUGUGUGUGUGUGUGAUAAAUAAGAUACAUUGCGAAUAUACACACGCGGCAAUUUAAUUCCACUAAAUUAGGCAAAUUAGCGCAUAGACUUAUAAGCAUGACCGGUGAAAUGUAUUUACAUCAAUUGGUAUUUCCAUUAAUGAAUAGGCUAAAAAGCAUUAUUUUGAAAAAUAUAUAUAUAUAUAUCUUCUCCCAGACAAGUGGCCGGUGCCAAUUUUAUUUAUUGACUUUUGUAUAUUUUUAGCCCCCAAAAGCCGGCUAUUACCAGCUAACGGAAACCCUGACACAAAGAUACAGUACAGUCACUUUUUGGUGCUUAAUAACUUGUGGAAAGUUACAAGCUUUGCCAUAAUCAAUUAUUAUCAUUUAUGCCAAUAUCUGUCCUGUACAACUGAAUGUUACUUCAAUGAUGAAAUUUGGUUCUGGCACUGUUUUAAAUAUAUGGAAUAAUUAUACAUAGGAUCAACCUUACAUUCCCCUCAGUGAUACUUAUACACUUUAUUCAGUAUGUUCAUAUAUUACACAUCAUUUCCUCUUUGGAUCAUUCAUUUGGAUUUCACAACUUUAUUAAAAUAAUGUUUUCAUCCAAAUGCUAGAACCGUCUCACAAUCAGAUGAUGUAAAUAUGUUGUAAAUCUUGCAGGGGGUGGGUGCUGUGUUUUGUGAAUGUGCAGUGUAUAUUAACACAGUAUUUAUGGGUGUAUGUGAGGAAAUGAAAUAGUAAGCAGCUGUCUUAUGUAGCAGUGUGUGGAAGGUUGUCAGGGGGUUCACUUUUUUGUUUGUACCAUUUUGAUGCUUUUGUUGAUGUUAGAGGAAGCACGAUUAUUAGCGUAUGGACCUUACCCAUCGGUCAGACAUUUAAAUGAAUGGUCUUUGUGCCCUUUCUGUUAGCUUUGCACAAGGGUACAAACAAAGCCACACCUCCAUGUUGCCUGUGCCCUCCGAUGGAGGGUGAAUGAUGCCUGAAUUGCAUCUGUAAUUUCCUUUGGAGUUGUUUUUUGCCUGUUUUUUGUAGAAAGAGGAACAGGCAUCUACCACUAGAACGUUAUUCAAUCAUAAUCAUACAGUGACCAUUGGUAACUAAAUGAACACCAUGACACUGCACAAGCGUGUGUAUAGGACCAGAACACAUGUCGGUACCAACUCUCAGAUACAUCUGCAUAUUAGCUAGCUGUACUUAUGGCAAGUGAAUUAAAUGCAUCCUGAUUCGUAACAUUUGUCAGAAUGUGACACGGACUGCAGGACAGUUUCUCACUAAAGGACUUAAUUAAUCUGAUCUUAAAACUGUAUUCAAAUCCGUUUUCAUAUUGGACGACUUUGAUAUUUCAAGUAGCACUUGCUACAAAGUAUUUUCAAGGACAAUGUUUGUAUUGUAUGUUACAACUGUACUGUAUAUAUAUAUAUAUAUAGUCUACACACCCUGCCUCCACUCUACUGUAUGAAAGUCAUUUGUACAUGUUUUAUUCUUUGGAUGUGGAAAUAUAUAUUUGUGUAAAAUCAA